UUUCAAAUAUGUUUUUUUUCAUGAUGACCAAUAAAAAACAACAGUGUUACCCCUUAUGUUUUCUUUCAUGACGACCAAUAAAAAACAACAGUGUUGCCCCUUAUGUUUUUUUUCAAGACGACCAUUAAAAACAACAGUGUUACCCCUUAUGUUUUUUUUCAUGACGACCAAUAAAAAACAACAGUGUUACCCCUUCUGGUUUUUUUCAUGACGACCAAAGAAAAACGACUGUGUCACCCCUCAUGUUUCAUUUGAUAAAAACUACAAUGUUACCCCCUAUGUUUUAAUGGAUAAAUAUCGACAGUGUUACCCCUUAUGUUUUUUUCAUGACGACCGAUAAAAAAGGACAGUUUUACCCCUUAUGUUUCAUUUGAUAAAAACGACAGUGUUACCCCUCAUGUUUCAUUUGAUAAAAACGACAGUGUUACCCCUUGUGUUUUUUUUCAUUACGAACAAUUUGAAUUGUGUUUAAAAAUGCUACAGUGGUCAUUUGUUUAGCCAAUUCAUGUUAAACAAUGAGGGUUUUGAUUGUCGGGUCGGGCCUUUGAUCGAUCGUUUGUGUUUUUUUUAUCAUUGCUUUAUUGGCCUAAUUUGAGGAGAAAUCUAUGCCAUAAACAGACAUUUAAUAGGCCUUUAUUACACGGGUCUUCUCAAUGCCGUGGAACGCUCCAUUCACUUGCAUGGGUAGUAGUCCGGUAACUUGUCAACCCCAGCGUCUUCGUUUGCUAAGCGACGUCAACGUCUUAUAGCGGACUAUUUCACUGCUGAUCAACACUACGAAUGCUGGUAACGAAUAAAUUGUAAAAAGACACACCAUGUGAAGUUAUUUUCCAAAUAGUUCAGCGAGAAAGGCGACGAAGAAUAAGAAGGGGGCGUUCCAGUCUGCGUAAACGGAAACCCCCACCACACGAGAACGCCCAUUUGCGUCUGCAGUGGGAUGAUAUUGCCUUAUUCUGGUUUUAAUGUAACAGAAUAACACUGUUUGAAACACUUUCACACCAUCAGCGAGGUAGCAUUUCAACAAUUCUGAUGUUGUCAUGAAAACUUAGACGAGUGUGUCUUUGUGUGUUUCUGUGUGUGUGUGUGUGUGUGUGUGU
Molecule: long non-coding RNA, 1097 nt
Filed under: Gadus morhua (Atlantic cod)
Lineage: Eukaryota; Metazoa; Chordata; Actinopteri; Gadiformes; Gadidae
Description: lncRNA (ENSGMOG00000032149.1)
Source: RNAcentral